AGAAUCAUGGAAUUUAAAGUCAUUAGAAACAGACUCCUGACCAAGAUGACACUGAGUAUUCUGAAGAGAUGAAAAAGCUUUGUCCUUGAACUUGACCAAUUAAGAAUGUGACAGAAGUCACCUUCAAGUGUCCCUUGAACGCCUGAUUAUCACUUUGAUUCUGAACUUCAGUUAUCCUCGGGGAAUGCAGAAAAGGUUUUUUGGCCUCUGCUUGGCCUCUCAGGUCUUUUUAAAUUGCCAAACGUUGUCCUUAAGCACUUGAGGAAGAGAUGAUGGCUGCACUGGGAUGAAAUUGGCUGCUCAUGGGAGACACCGAAGGCGCUCCAUGCAGUGUCGCUGAUAAGCAGAUGAUGGUGUUCCUGUUGGAGACCAGGUGUGUGGACCCUGUCCCUGUAACUGUGGACUCAGGAGCUGCGGAACCCAUCCUGAUCAACACUUCCCUGAAUGGAGCUUUGCAGCCAAGAUGAGUCAGGGAAGCCAAUUCAUCAGGACUUAGUGAGGAAGAGGAAGAGAGGGCAGCGCUGGGGUGUGAAACGCGACUGUGAGUGUGACCGAUGUCCCUCACAUUCCUGCCCAGACAGGGAACAGGACUGAACGCUUUAACGAAGGCGUAGUCUCCUAUCUGUCUGGCUCAUUUUGAAAAGCCCACGUACUGAAUGUGGACGUGUCCGCGGCCCCCAGCCCAUCAGCUCACAACCUAAGGAGCCUGGCGAGGAGGAAGCAUUGCAGCCCCUCUGCUCUGUGGUCUCUCAGAGGAACAUCAAGCCUAUUUUCCAGCUGAGGAAACUGGUUUCCAAAUCCAACUAUUAACUGAUAUUUCCCAGCAUCAAAUGCUGCCGAUAAUGAGCAAUUUAAGGAAUUAUCAUAUUGUCCCUCUGUGUUUCUUAAUCUAUGCCUCCUCUUAAUCCCUGUGCAUAUGUUCAGGAGGGCUUCUCUCCACUGCUAGCUAAUUACCCAGGACACAGGGACAGGCUGGUGCCCCAACAAGGGACACGAGGAGGGGGCUCAUGGGUGAACAGAACAAAUUCAACCUCCUUGCAGAGUGGCCUGGGCACAAGGAAUCUGAGAGUGGAAACACUGGCUUCACAUGGAUUAUUUUCAAGCUUAAACUGACGUGAGGUCAUAAAUAGCAAAGCUUGUGGAACUUAAACUCUUGGGAAAGACCAGCCUCCAGGCUUCAUGCUCAUGUUCCAUGUGAACAAACUUUGGAAGAGUUUUGGCAAAUGAGACCAUGAGGGAAACUGCCCAACAGGAAACACAGUGAUGGGAGCCCCUGGUGCCUCUUGCAUGUCCCUUCCUCCCCCAGUUGUGACUUUCAUUCUCAACUUGGAGUCUCCCACAGGGCACAGACACUCUUUCUGUGCCUUCCACUCAGCUGCUCCCGUAGACCGUUUUGGUAAUUGCCAGGACUUGUCACUAAUCCCCAGGAGUGGACGAGGGGGACUAGCCCUGGGGGUCAGAUUUGCUCCUCACUGGGGACGCCCCAGGCUCUCCGUGCAGACAGUGUCACCUGUCCUACAGAUGACAUGGUAAUGGCUCCUCAGUGGGGAGAUCAGGUCCAGGGACCCUGUCCCUAUAAAUAUGGCCCCAUCUGAGUGACACUUCCCUGCACAGAGCUGUGGGGCCAAGACCAGGCAGGUGAGUGCUCCCUUGUGUUCUACCUCAGGGCAGAAAGCAGCAGAGGAGGGCUCUCCCACAGGAGGGGAGCUCAGAGCUGUGCUGUUAGUGCCAGUGGGUG
Long non-coding RNA from Vicugna pacos (alpaca), 1738 nucleotides. RefSeq lists it as uncharacterized. The record is from RefSeq and is a predicted model, not a curated record. NCBI's taxonomy places the organism in Eukaryota, Metazoa, Chordata, Mammalia, Artiodactyla, Camelidae.